CUGAGCAAAGGAAAUGUUAGGCCG
Molecule: microRNA, 24 nt
Filed under: Octopus vulgaris (common octopus)
Lineage: Eukaryota; Metazoa; Mollusca; Cephalopoda; Octopoda; Octopodidae
Also listed under: 1 other name
Description: Ovu-Mir-12584-v2_5p (mature (guide))
Source: RNAcentral